Molecule: ribosomal RNA, 479 nt
Filed under: uncultured bacterium
Lineage: Bacteria
Description: partial 16S ribosomal RNA
Rfam family: Bacterial small subunit ribosomal RNA
Source: RNAcentral
GAUGAACGCUGGCGGCGUGCUUAACACAUGCAAGUCGAACGAAGCACCUUGAUUCGAUUCUUCGGAUGAAGAUCUUGGUGACUGAGUGGCGGACGGGUGAGUAACGCGUGGGUAACCUGCCUCAUACAGGGGGAUAACAGUUAGAAAUGACUGCUAAUACCGCAUAAGACCACAGCACCGCAUGGUGCAGGGGUAAAAACUCCGGUGGUAUGAGAUGGACCCGCGUCUGAUUAGGUAGUUGGUGGGGUAACGGCCUACCAAGCCGACGAUCAGUAGCCGACCUGAGAGGGUGACCGGCCACAUUGGGACUGAGACACGGCCCAAACUCCUACGGGAGGCAGCAGUGGGGAAUAUUGCACAAUGGGGGAAACCCUGAUGCAGCGACGCCGCGUGAGCGAUGAAGUAUUUCGGUAUGUAAAGCCCUAUCAGCAGGGAAGAAAAUGACGGUACCUGACUAAGAAGCACCGGCUAAAUACGUG